Long non-coding RNA from Hyaena hyaena (striped hyena), 1553 nucleotides. RefSeq lists it as uncharacterized. NCBI's taxonomy places the organism in Eukaryota, Metazoa, Chordata, Mammalia, Carnivora, Hyaenidae. The transcript has 2 exons. The record is from RefSeq and is a predicted model, not a curated record.
UCAGUCGACAAAUAAUGACUGAGUGUCUUCUGUGUUCCAGGUUCUAUAGCGGGUUCUAGGGAUACAGCAGUAAAUAAAGCAGAGAAGGAGGGCCCGGCCUUCUUGGAGGUAUUCAGCAAAGAUCGAAGAAAAUAUGCCCUAUUGCCAAAUGCCCGCACGAUUCCUGUGAACAGAGCAUGACCUGGGGCACUUGUGGAGGAGGUGGAGGACAAGGUUAUGGACCACUGGUCUCAGCUUCAGGAAUCUUAAAAUCUCCAAGCUAUUGGUUCAAAGGAUACACAUGCACUCUCUCAGACUAAAAGUUUGCUAUUGGAGAGUAGCGCCAAUGGUGAUCACAGCAACCUGAUUACCUGGGAAGACACUCGGACAAUAACAGCACUCACAGCAGCUGUCACACUGAGUAAUGACUGUAUGCUAGCCUCCAUGCUCAGUGUUCCAGGUGUCUUACCAGUUAUUUUCAUGCUCCUAAGAGUCUUUCAAGAAAAGCACUGUGUAUUAUUAUCUCCUUUUUAUGGAUGAGGAAACUAAGGCUAGGGGAGAUUAAGUAAUUUGUCCAAGGAUAACUACAGAGCAAGGAGGCUUCGGUACUGGUUUGCCAAAUUUUGUGCCUCUUAACAGGGAUGGAAUCUGUCUGAAGGAGGCAGACACCAGGAAUACCAGGAGUAGCUAUUGCCUGGGAGGGCUGGAGCCUCCAGAGCCCCCAGAAGAUUCUUCUUCACCCCCUUGCAUCCAGUCUGAACAUCACAUGGAUGAGGAGACGGAGAAACUGAGGGCUCAGUGUGAAGUGCACUGCACAAAGCUACACUGCUGAGAAAGCUAUCGUUCAAGCCUUUAGUGCUCGUUCCCCUUCCUGACACUUUCCACUAGUGGCACAGGAGAGGGUCUGGCUUGGCAGAGCAGCUGGCAAAGGAGAAGGCGCAUGUUGAUAAUGCAGCCCAAGAGUGGAGACCUCUGGACCGAGUCAUCCACUGAAUAGCUGAUGGUGGAAGUGGACUGGGUUGGCAGAGUUCCAGGGCAUCUGUGGGAUGCAGCCAGUGGGUCUGUCCUCUUCUGCUUCUGGAAACGACACCACAGAUUUGGCACAGUUUGCCCAGAGCCCUUCACCAAGUGGUUCGGGUCCAUUCCUCCUGCUGCAAAUGAGUUUGCUUCCUUAGGAACAGAGGCAUUCUUGUCACCUAACCUGCAUCUAAUAAUAACCCUCCAUGUUCGUUGAGCAGAUGCUGCCCAAGCCCUUACCCAACCUCAGGCCCUGUGCCAGGAACGCAGGGUGAAAUAAGCCAGUCCAGACCUGCAAAGAAGCAAUGACACAGUGGCUUGAGGGUAGGCUUUGGCACCAGAUACGUCUGAGUGUGAGCCCCAGACCUGCCUCCUACAAGGUAUGUCAGUGUGGACAUGUUACAGAGCCUCUAGAAGCUCUGGAUUCUCUGUCGUGACACGGUUGUGAGGAUCAAACAAGAUGAUUAUGUCAAGGGCAUCAAUGCAGCACUUGGCACAGAGUAAACACUCAAUACAUACCAUCUGUUAUUAUUAUUAAAAAGCACUUUUACAUUUCA